RNAcentral lists this ribosomal RNA (465 nucleotides) under uncultured bacterium. RNAcentral describes it as "partial 16S ribosomal RNA". It matches the Rfam family "Bacterial small subunit ribosomal RNA", at positions 338 to 795 of the family's 1533-position model. The record is from RNAcentral.
CCUACGGGGUGCUGCAGUAGGGAAUCUUCGGCAAUGGGCGAAAGCCUGACCGAGCAACGCCGCGUGAAUGAAGAAGGCCUUCGGGUUGUAAAAUUCUGUUAUAAGGGAAGAAAGGUGAUAGGAGGAAAUGACUAUCAAUUGACGGUACCUUAUGAGAAAGCCACGGCUAACUACGUGCCAGCAGCCGCGGUAAUACGUAGGGGGCAAGCGUUAUCCGGAAUUAUUGGGCGUAAAGAGCGCGCAGGUGGUUAAUGAAGUCUGAUGUGAAAGCCCACGGCUUAACCGUGGAGGGUCAUUGGAAACUGGUUGACUUGAGUGCAGAAGAGGGAAGUGGAAUGCCAUGUGUAGCGGUGAAAUGCGUAGAGAUAUGGAGGAACACCAGUGGCGAAGGCAGCUCACUGGACUGCAACUGACACUGAGGCUCGAAAGUGUGGGUAUCAAACAGGAUUAGAUACCCCGGUAGUC